Non-coding RNA from Populus trichocarpa (black cottonwood), 161 nucleotides. NCBI's taxonomy places the organism in Eukaryota, Viridiplantae, Streptophyta, Magnoliopsida, Malpighiales, Salicaceae. The record is from Rfam.
UCUAGAACUCAAGAUAUGAGCUGAAAACCAAACAAUGUUUGAGCUGCAGGACAGGUUCUGACUUCUCCGUUGUUGCUAAGAUUUGAACUUGAAAAUGGCAGAAUUAGGUCUAUGUCUUAUCUUUCCAUCCAUAUAAAGUGGACCUAAAUCCGAGUUCUACA